RNAcentral lists this ribosomal RNA (468 nucleotides) under uncultured bacterium. RNAcentral's name for it is "partial 16S ribosomal RNA". It matches the Rfam family "Bacterial small subunit ribosomal RNA", at positions 28 to 507 of the family's 1533-position model. The record is from RNAcentral.
GACGAACGCUGGCGGCGUGCUUAACACAUGCAAGUCGAACGGAAAGGCCCUGCUUUUGUGGGGUGCUCGAGUGGCGAACGGGUGAGUAACACGUGAGUAACCUGCCCUUGACUUUGGGAUAACUUCAGGAAACUGGGGCUAAUACCGGAUAGGAGCUCCUGCUGCAUGGUGGGGGUUGGAAAGUUUCGGCGGUUGGGGAUGGACUCGCGGCUUAUCAGCUUGUUGGUGGGGGAGUGGCUUACCAAGGGUUUGACGGGUAGGCGGCCUGAGAGGGUGACCGGCGACAUUGCGACUGAGAUACGGCCCAGACUCCUACGGGAGGCAGCAGUGGCGAAUAUUGCACAAUGGGCGGAAGCCUGAUGCAGCAGCGCCGCGUGCGUGAUGACGGCCUGGGGGUGGUAAACUGGUUUCGGCUGUGACGAAGCGUGAGUGACGGUACUGGGUUAAGAAGCACCGGCUAACUGCGUG